AAUGAACGCUGGCGGCAGGCCUAACACAUGCAAGUCGAGCGAGGACUUCGGUCCUAGCGGCGGACGGGUGAGUAACGCGUGGGAAUAUGCCCUUUGGUACGGAAUAGCCUCGGGAAACUGGGAGUAAUACCGUAUGUGCCCUUCGGGGAAGGAUUAUCGCCAAAGGAUUAGCCCGCGUUGGAUUAGGUAGUUGGUGGGGUAAUGGCCUACCAAGCCGACGAUCCAUAGCUGGUUUGAGAGGAUGAUCAGCCACACUGGGACUGAGACACGGCCCAGACUCCUACGGGAGGCAGCAGUGGGGAAUCUUAGACAAUGGGCGCAAGCCUGAUCUAGCCAUGCCGCGUGAUCGAUGAAGGCCUUAGGGUUGUAAAGCUCUUUCAGCUGGGAAGAUAAUGACGGUACCAGCAGAAGAAGCCCCGGCUAACUCCGUG
RNAcentral lists this ribosomal RNA (431 nucleotides) under uncultured bacterium. Its description in RNAcentral is "bacterial SSU rRNA". It matches the Rfam family "Bacterial small subunit ribosomal RNA", at positions 29 to 507 of the family's 1533-position model. The record is from RNAcentral.